Long non-coding RNA from Numida meleagris (helmeted guineafowl), 2419 nucleotides. RefSeq lists it as uncharacterized. The record is from RefSeq and is a predicted model, not a curated record. NCBI's taxonomy places the organism in Eukaryota, Metazoa, Chordata, Aves, Galliformes, Numididae. The transcript has 5 exons.
AAAUAAACAUGUUUAUUUUAAAAGCAAACAGAUGUGAUUGCUUUUGGACUCAUUUUCAAACGCACUGGUACACUUGUAUUCGUGUGCAUGGUUGGUAUGACUUUUACACGCAAAAGAAUACCUGUUCCCUUAGAUGUUGAGAAAUAAGUUAGCUAUAUGUUAUCAAAGAAGUACACCAUGAUUUAAAGCUAUGGUCAAACAAAAAAAUGGUUUUAUCAUGAACAAAACUAUACAGUUUUAGACUCACAAUCACAUGCACAAGUAUAAUCCACAGCUGAAUAUAAAGUCCUGAUCUCAGCUGUGUGAUACAAGCAAGUAGCAAGUUAAUUGAAGGUAAGUGACCUAUUACUUUGGCAAUGCAUAUGAUGCCCCACCCUCUCCACACAGACUGCUCUUGUUGCAGCUAUCAAGUGAAUACUUAUUUGUAGGCUAUUGAAGGAGGUUAUCCAGGCUUCUGCCAGUUUCUGUUUCUGAAUAUAUUUUAUCAGUUAAACGUACAAGAAAGAAUGAGUUUCCAUGGAAAUAAAUAAGAGGCAUUACUUUCUGAGUGACCUAUGAGAAUUCAGGAAAUUUGAAGCACAAUAAAAGGAUCAAGAAAAAAAAAAACUGCGGCACAAGACAGAUGUAAUACAACAUAUCUUGAUCUGAUGUAACACACAAUCAGUUCUAGGUUUAAGCCCGUUCUUGGUUGACAAUGAAUCCUUAAGUGUGAUUCAGAGACAGUGGACAGGACUGUGACCGAGUUAUGAGUAAGCACCCGUACUGCACAGCUGUCUAGCAGGUAGUGAGUACCACAGAAGCAUGAUGCCAGACAGCAUUCUUCUUUCUUCCACAGAAUCAUAAAAAAUGAUAUUUUGGAGGGGAACCCCUUGAGGUAUCUAUUCCAACCUCCUGUUCAAAGUCUUGAACUUCAAAAUUAGAAAAUGUUGUUCAGGAUUUUAUAUAGUUCAAUUCAGAAAAUAUCCAAUAUUGCAUGACUUCUCUGUACAUCUAACCAUCUGCAUGCCCUUUUUAGUUGCAUAUAAAUAAUAUGCUCAUCUGUGAAAAGAACCUAAAUCAUGUUGGAGAAUAAAAUAUAUUACUUUUUACCACGGAAAAGAGAUGGGUAAUGGGGAAAUUAGUCUUCAAAUACCCGAAGGAGCAUUAAAAAUUUUCAGAAAAAAAAGUCAGAAAAAGAAAAGUAGGAAUCAACUCACCAAGAAGUCUGCAUGUGGGAAGAGGUAGGGAAAGAUUCACAGAUACAUCUAGAGAUUUGCUCCCCUGCUGGUACAAGUUCCAAGUAAGUCCAAACUAUGUAGUGGCUUCGUGAUGAGUCUGGAAUGACUACAUGGAAAUCACUGCAUGAGGACAGGCUGUACAUGGAGAUAGGACUGUGAGUCAUGGAUGCACUCUUAAUACUAUCUGUUUAGAUUAACAUAAAUGAGUUCAGGUUUAUCAAAAAGUGUUAUCCUUUCUAAUCAGGAGACCUGAAUAUGACUUUUGCUCUCACAGUAGCACUGAGCACAUAACUAAGUUGACUAGAAUCAAAUCCAUAGAAGAUAAGAAACAAUGUAUCUAGUCUGUGGCAAGAUUAAUUCCUCUUGAGAUUUAAGAAAGAUUUUCAGAUCUUGUUUUGUAAAAAAAUUAAAAAAAAAUGCAAUAAGCUUAAAGAAGUUAUGAUUCUAUAAAUAACUUGAAUUUUUGAGUAGGAAUUGUCACUGUAGUACAUGGAUCAAUAACAGGGAUUUAUAUAGUUCCCAAGCAGAUACUUCAGAACAAUGGUCAAUUUCUCAUUACCUUUAACUCCUUUGCUAUUCUUCCAAAAAAUAUUUCUGGCUUGUGUGUGUGCUUUGUGAUGUUCUUGUAGAAUGCAUUAUGUACCAAACCUUUUAUUUAAUGGGAGUGGCAAGAAACAAAAAAAUCCCCUCCUUUGCCAAUUCUCCUCUCCCUUUCAAUCUUUACCCUGUUCUCUGAUAGGUAGAUGUAUUUUACUAAGGCGAAUACCAUUAUGUUUGUUGGUUGUUUAUUUAUAAGUAUAAAAGGUUUUGGCAUGGUAUCGAUUAACUGCAUGUUGGCCAUGUGUUCUGAUGUAUAUUUAAAUUCUUGAGAAAAAGUUAUUUUUAAUCAAAACUUCAUUUAAAGGGGAAUGUUAUGUACCAAAAUAUCAUCUUUUUUAGGAACUGGUGCUGUGUUUAUGAAUGCAUGUGUAGGGAAAAUAAAUUGAAGACUGUCAUAAUGAUUUAAAUAGUAAAAUCUCUGAAAAUAAAUUAAAAUCAAGCUAGAUAAUUUCCAAAGCAUAAUGAACCAUUUGACCUUGUAUUGCCUGGGUUAAGUGGAAGGGCAGAAAAGAUGGAAGAACUAGCUAAUGACACUGGAUUUGUGAGAGUCAGUGUCAUAAUGGUGGUUUAAGAUAUAUACCCUUCUAUUCAUAGGAAGUUAC